GAUGAACGCUGGCGGCGUGCCUAAUACAUGCAAGUCGAGCGAACAGACGAGGAGCUUGCUCCUCUGACGUUAGCGGCGGACGGGUGAGUAACACGUGGAUAACCUACCUAUAAGACUGGGAUAACUUCGGGAAACCGGAGCUAAUACCGGAUAAUAUAUUGAACCGCAUGGUUCAAUAGUGAAAGACGGUUUUGCUGUCACUUAUAGAUGGAUCCGCGCCGCAUUAGCUAGUUGGUAAGGUAACGGCUUACCAAGGCAACGAUGCGUAGCCGACCUGAGAGGGUGAUCGGCCACACUGGAACUGAGACACGGUCCAGACUCCUACGGGAGGCAGCAGUAGGGAAUCUUCCGCAAUGGGCGAAAGCUUGACGGAGCAACGCCGCGUGAGUGAUGAAGGUCUUCGGAUCGUAAAACUCUGUUAUUAGGGAAGAACAUAUGUGUAAGUAACUGUGCACAUCUUGACGGUACCUAAUCAGAAAGCCACUGCUAACUACGUG
This 497-nucleotide ribosomal RNA is filed under the name uncultured bacterium. RNAcentral describes it as "partial 16S ribosomal RNA". It matches the Rfam family "Bacterial small subunit ribosomal RNA", at positions 28 to 507 of the family's 1533-position model. The record is from RNAcentral.